CCAAGUUGCGAACACAUUUUCCCUGUCAAAUGUUCCAUUAUUUUUCCUAAUAAACCUUUAAUUCUCGUGUUCUAAAACCAUUUUCCAGAAACAUUUUUCGGGAAAUCACCUUCCUCUCACUCCUCUACCUCUCUCCCCGAUUCACCUCCCGUUCCCCUCCCAUUCAAUUUUCUCUCUCCUCUGUGUCACCAUGCCAGGACGGAUGUAUCCCCGCCUCCCCUUCUGGCUGGUCGCCGCUGAUGCAGGUGUUGUUGUUGGUGUUGCUUCGCUCUCGUUCUCGUUCCCAGUACCGCCGACGAUGGUGGUCUCGAAUUUCCGUCUUCAACAACCCAUCACUCAAUUAGUGGUGGUGCGUCGGCCUCCUCCACCGCCAGCGUUGUCCUAUUUCCGACGAUUCUGCCUUGGUUGUUGAUUGAUGUUUCCAUGCCUCAACUCCUCACCUCUCCUACAUCACAUCUCUGCUUCGUAGACUCCUCCUCGACGGAGGCACCCCGUUGUCUCGUUGGUGCGGUCACUGCUGAUGUUGAAAUUUUUGUUGUCGUUCAUUGUUGUUACUGCUGCUGAUGUUGUUAUUGUUGUUGUUGUUGGCUCUAGUUGUUGGACUCUUGUGUUGCUACUUCUCUGCCUCUUGUUUUUUCUCAAGGAAAUGGGUGAGGACCAAAAGUUGUACCAGAGCCGGUCUUGAAAUGGUAGAAGAUGGAGGCAGAAUGGGAAUAUAGCGGACUAUUGAUGAUAUGAGUGGGCACCUCCUCCCUCCAGUGAUUUUUCUUGUAGUUGAUGAUAUUGCCUCUGCGGGCUUGGAUGUGUCUCAUCUGAGCCUGAAUUGCAGAACUGGGCUGAUGUGCUAAUGUGCUUGUGUUGUGCUGCUCCUGGUGCUCUGUUGCUGUUCUGAUGUCAUUUUGGUACUGAUGUUCUAUUCUGCUUUGGUCUGCCCCUACCUGCACUUUGUUGUGUGAUCUGUAGUCUGUUUUGCACAUUAUUGUUGUUCAAGCCGGUGGCCGCGUAUCUGAAGAUCAUACAGCAGGGUGCAAUCAGUUUGUACAAAGCUAUUUUAGAUCAAUGUUGUCUUGUUUUGGCUUUGCUAGUUUUUUUCCCUUUUUUUUGGGUAUGGCCCGUAUGGGUUGUAUAGUUUGGUUGGAUAGCUUAUUUGUUUUGUAGUUUUUGGCUUCAAAGUUGUUAAGACGCCUAGUGUAUUUUAUUUGGUUGAGCUUUUACAAAAAUUAUUUCACAUUUGGUUAAUAAAAGUUUACUAUUUUCCAAAAUGAUCAGGCUUGUAAAUGUACAAAUAAUAAGCUAUAUUAUUUGCAGUGCCUCUAAAAACCUUUCA
Long non-coding RNA from Spinacia oleracea (spinach), 1327 nucleotides. RefSeq lists it as uncharacterized. The record is from RefSeq and is a predicted model, not a curated record. Lineage: Eukaryota; Viridiplantae; Streptophyta; Magnoliopsida; Caryophyllales; Amaranthaceae. The transcript is spliced from 4 exons.